RNAcentral lists this ribosomal RNA (729 nucleotides) under Staphylococcus haemolyticus. Its description in RNAcentral is "bacterial SSU rRNA". It matches the Rfam family "Bacterial small subunit ribosomal RNA", at positions 118 to 834 of the family's 1533-position model. Lineage: Bacteria; Bacillati; Bacillota; Bacilli; Caryophanales; Staphylococcaceae. The record is from RNAcentral.
UGGGUAACCUACCUAUAAGACUGGGAUAACUUCGGGAAACCGGAGCUAAUACCGGAUAAUAUUUCGAACCGCAUGGUUCGAUAGUGAAAGAUGGUUUUGCUAUCACUUAUAGAUGGACCCGCGCCGUAUUAGCUAGUUGGUAAGGUAACGGCUUACCAAGGCGACGAUACGUAGCCGACCUGAGAGGGUGAUCGGCCACACUGGAACUGAGACACGGUCCAGACUCCUACGGGAGGCAGCAGUAGGGAAUCUUCCGCAAUGGGCGAAAGCCUGACGGAGCAACGCCGCGUGAGUGAUGAAGGUCUUCGGAUCGUAAAACUCUGUUAUUAGGGAAGAACAUACGUGUAAGUAACUAUGCACGUCUUGACGGUACCUAAUCAGAAAGCCACGGCUAACUACGUGCCAGCAGCCGCGGUAAUACGUAGGUGGCAAGCGUUAUCCGGAAUUAUUGGGCGUAAAGCGCGCGUAGGCGGUUUUUUAAGUCUGAUGUGAAAGCCCACGGCUCAACCGUGGAGGGUCAUUGGAAACUGUAAAACUUGAGUGCAGAAGAGGAAAGUGGAAUUCCAUGUGUAGCGGUGAAAUGCGCAGAGAUAUGGAGGAACACCAGUGGCGAAGGCGACUUUCUGGUCUGUAACUGACGCUGAUGUGCGAAAGCGUGGGGAUCAAACAGGAUUAGAUACCCUGGUAGUCCACGCCGUAAACGAUGAGUGCUAAGUGUUAGGGGGUUUC